Molecule: long non-coding RNA, 471 nt
Organism: Poecilia latipinna (sailfin molly)
Lineage: Eukaryota; Metazoa; Chordata; Actinopteri; Cyprinodontiformes; Poeciliidae
Exons: 3
Source: RefSeq, a predicted model, not a curated record
CGAACUGCAGGGCUUCGGUGACGGGACACAGAAUGUGAAUGUAUGACCAGCAGAGUGCAGCUGAAGCAGGACAGGCUUGUAGGUCUUACUGAUUCCUCCAGCUGCUAGAGACGAUCAGAGCAUGAGGAUGGAGAGACCAGCAAGUGUUGAGUCAGAGAAGGUCAGCUGGAGCUGGACUGGAGUUCUGUUUGGCUUUAGUGGCUUCCUGGAUGGAGACAUCGACUGAGCUAAAGCGGCUAACAACGCAACAUUUUCCUCUCCCAUUAUAAACUUUGCUUUUCUUCAACAUGGAAAAUACUCCUACAUCAGUAGCUCUGUUUGUUAUUUUGACAUCAAUGCUUACCUGGUGGUCAAUUGAUCCUCUUAACCACUGAAUGUAUCAGAACCACCUGGACUGAGCUGGCUUCGUCAGAGGGAGCCAAGACUUCUCGAUAAAAUGACUUCCCGUAUUUUAAGAUGUUCUUCUGGUAA